CAGCGGAGGGAUCAUUACCGAGUUUACAACUCCCAAACCCCAAUGUGAACGUUACCAACCUGUUGCCUCGGCGGGUCUCUGCCCCGGGCGCGUCGCAGCCCCGGACCAAGGCGCCCGCCGGAGGACCAACUUACAAACUCUUUUUUCUUGCACGGGAGACGUCCUCGCGGACUCUCUUCGUCUCUUAUAGCCUCUGAGCUUUCUCGGCGCCCCUAGCGGGCGUUUCGAAAAUGAAUCAAAACUUUCAACAACGGAUCUCUUGGUUCUGGCAUCGAUGAAGAACGCAGCGAAAUGCGAUAAGUAAUGUGAAUUGCAGAAUUCAGUGAAUCAUCGAAUCUUUGAACGCACAUUGCGCCCGCCAGUAUUCUGGCGGGCAUGCCUGUCCGAGCGUCAUUUCAACCCUCGAGCCCCUCCGGGGGGUCGGCGUUGGGGAUCGGCCUCCCGCCUCGGCGGAUUGCCGGCCCCGAAAUGCAGUGGCGGUCUCGCCGCAGCCUCUCCUGCGCAGUAGUUUGCACACUCGCAACGGGAGCGCGGCGCGUCCAAUGCCGUAAAACAACCCAAACUUCUGAAAGGUUGACCUCGGAUCAGGUAGGAAUACCCGCUGAACUUAAGCAUAUCAAUAAGCGGAGGAAAAGAAACCAACAGGGAUUGCCCCAGUAACGGCGAGUGAAGCGGCAACAGCUCAAAUUUGAAAUCUGGCCCCUCUCGGGGUCCGAGUUGUAAUUUGUAGAGGAUGCUUUUGGCGAGGCGCCGCCCGAGUC
This 761-nucleotide ribosomal RNA is filed under the name Trichoderma decipiens. RNAcentral describes it as "eukaryotic LSU rRNA". The stretch from base 240 to 393 matches the Rfam family "5.8S ribosomal RNA". The record is from RNAcentral. Lineage: Eukaryota; Fungi; Ascomycota; Sordariomycetes; Hypocreales; Hypocreaceae.